This 306-nucleotide ribosomal RNA is filed under the name Triticum aestivum (bread wheat). Its description in RNAcentral is "partial small subunit ribosomal RNA". Lineage: Eukaryota; Viridiplantae; Streptophyta; Magnoliopsida; Poales; Poaceae. The record is from RNAcentral.
AUGGACUUCUUGCCGGCGGACGGCACCGCCGGGUGCGCCAAGGGCGGGUCGCGGUGCGAUGCUGACAUCACGUCGCAGUGCCUGUCCGAGCUCCGUGCACCCGGCGGGGGCAACAACGCGUGCACGGUGUUCAAGAAGGAUGAGUACUGCUGCACUGGCACGGCAGCAGACAACUGCGGGCCGACCGACUAUUCCAAGUUCUUCAAGGGGCAGUGCCCGGACGCGUACAGCUACCCCAAGGAUGACGCCUCCAGCACCUUCACUUGCCCCGGAGGCACCAACUACCAGGUCGUCUUCUGCCCAUGA